GGGCGGUUAGCUCAGCUGGUUAGAGCGCUUGCUUCACACGCAAGAGGUCCCAGGUUCGAGUCCUGGAUCGCCCACCA
Molecule: transfer RNA, 77 nt
Filed under: Chloroflexota bacterium
Lineage: Bacteria; Bacillati; Chloroflexota
Description: Chloroflexi bacterium tRNA-Val
Rfam family: tRNA
About the family: Transfer RNA (tRNA) molecules are approximately 80 nucleotides in length.
Source: RNAcentral